GAUGAAGAACGUAGCGAAAUGCGAUAAGUAAUGUGAAUUGCAGAAUUCAGUGAAUCAUCGAAUCUUUGAACGCACAUUGCGCCCAUUAGUAUUCUAGUGGGCAUGCCUGUUCGAGCGUCAUUAAGUCCACUUAAGCCCUGCUUAGUGUUGGGAGACUGCUCCAGCGGUGCUACCCUGUAGCUACCCUGCAGCUCCUCAAAGACAGCGGCGGAGUUGUGGUAUCCUCUGAGCUUAGUAACUUGUUCUAGCUUUCGAGUACACCACUUCCCCUUCCGUAAAACCCUUAAUUUUUAAUGGUUGACCUCGGAUCAGGUAGGAAUACCCGCUGAACUUAAGCAUAUCAAUAAGCGGAGGA
Molecule: unclassified non-coding RNA, 355 nt
Filed under: soil metagenome
Description: partial contains 5.8S ribosomal RNA, internal transcribed spacer 2, and large subunit ribosomal RNA
Rfam family: 5.8S ribosomal RNA (bases 1-120)
Source: RNAcentral